UCCAUGAGGUUUUUGACUACCUUUCCAUAAAACUUAGUUUAAUGAAGCCUGAUUUUCUUCUGUUCUCUAUUCAAGGUGGUUCAUUACAAUCACGGCCUCGUCUUGAUGCCAGCUUGUGGACUUUCAUGAGUUGAACAAACCUAUACGUCAAUCCUAUGAUUCUCCUUCCAGAGGAAGGCUCCUUCUAACUCAGAGCCAAAGUUUAAACAGAGAGAACCAUCAUUUGUGAAAGGUAGACGAGAUCCCACAGAAUGAGUAUUUAUUUGACUCCUGGGGAAAGUGAGGACUCUCAAAUAAUGUCCAAGGCCAUACAAAUGAUUGUUGAGAAGACACAGAGGUGGAAACUAAGUCUGUGCAGUUUACGUGCUACGUUCGGUGCUUGGCAAGUGGGAGGAUUGUGUAUGUUCCGGAUCAAGGCAGGGAUGGGAAUGGUAACUGCAACUGCAAUAUUCUUGGCAUACAAACCAACUAAUUUAAAAGUGAAGCUCUUUGUGUGACUGAAUGUUUCCUGCCAUUAGGGUAAUGAAGAUUUUGGAAAGACAUCAUCAAAGCAAAAAUAGGAAAAUCCCUGAGUCUUUUGAAUCAUUAGUGCUUUAUUACAUUUACCAUAAACUCUGGUUUCCUAACUUAAAUAACAUGAAAUUUAUCCAGUUACAACAGUGUUUGUGUUACCUACAGAUUUCAGUUUAACAAUUUGCUUUCAAGCUUCAUAUCUGAUGGCCAUCUACCAAGUUCCCCAAGGCUAGUGUCGCAGAACAAGGUUGUAGGACAUGAUCCCAAGUGUCUUAGCUUGAGUUUUUGGAAGCAGGGUGUGGCUUAUAAUAAAAGCAUUUUCAGGUGAAGAGAAUUGAGGAAA
Molecule: long non-coding RNA, 856 nt
Filed under: Vulpes vulpes (red fox)
Lineage: Eukaryota; Metazoa; Chordata; Mammalia; Carnivora; Canidae
Description: lncRNA (ENSVVUG00000006118.1)
Source: RNAcentral